RNAcentral lists this ribosomal RNA (1010 nucleotides) under uncultured archaeon. RNAcentral describes it as "bacterial SSU rRNA". It matches the Rfam family "Archaeal small subunit ribosomal RNA", at positions 23 to 1038 of the family's 1478-position model. The record is from RNAcentral.
GUUACUGCUAUCGAGGUUCGACUAAGCCAUGCGAGUCGAAUGUAGCAAUACAUGGCGAACUGCUCAGUAACACGUGGACAACCUGCCCUUAGGUUGGGUAUAAACCCGGGAAACUGGGUAUAAUACCCGAUAGGUCUCGAUUGCUGGAAUGCAUCGAGAUUUAAAGCUCCGGCGCCUAAGGAUGGGUCUGCGGCCUAUCAGGUAGUAGUGGGUGUAGCGUACCUACUAGCCUACGACGGGUACGGGUUGUGAGAGCAAGAGCCCGGAGAUGGAUUCUGAGACACGAAUCCAGGCCCUACGGGGUGCAGCAGGCGCGAAAACUUUACAAUGCUGGCAACAGCGAUAAGGGAACCUCGAGUGCCAGGUUACAAAUCUGGCUGUCGAGAUGCCUAAAAAGCAUUUCAUAGCAAGGGCCGGGCAAGACCGGUGCCAGCCGCCGCGGUAACACCGGCGGCUCGAGUGGUAACCGUUAUUAUUGGGUCUAAAGGGUCUGUAGCCGGCCGGAUAAGUCUCUUGAGAAAUCUGGCAGCUUAACUGUCAGGCUUUCAGGAGAUACUGUCUGGCUCGAGGCCGGGAGAGGUGAGAGGUACUUCAGGGGUAGGGGUGAAAUCUUGUAAUCCUUGAAGGACCACCAGUGGCGAAGGCGUCUCACCAGAACGGACCUGACGGUAAGGGACGAAAGCUAGGGGCACGAACCGGAUUAGAUACCCGGGUAGUCCUAGCCGUAAACGAUACUCGCUAGGUGUCGGCCACGGUGCGACCGUUGUCGGUGCCGUAGGGAAGCCGUGAAGCGAGCCACCUGGGAAGUACGGCCGCAAGGCUGAAACUUAAAGGAAUUGGCGGGGGAGCACCACAACGGGUGGAGCUUGCGGUUUAAUUGGAUUCAACGCCGGAAAUCUUACCGGGACCGACAGCAAUAUGAAGGCCAGGCUGAAGACUUUGCCGGAUUAGCUGAGAGGUGGUGCAUGGCCGUCGUCAGUUCGUACUGUGAAGCAUCCUGUUAAGUCAGG